Molecule: ribosomal RNA, 253 nt
Filed under: uncultured bacterium
Lineage: Bacteria
Description: partial 16S ribosomal RNA
Rfam family: Bacterial small subunit ribosomal RNA
Source: RNAcentral
UACAGAGGGGGCAAGCGUUAUUCGGAAUUAUUGGGCGUAAAGGGCGCGUAGGCGGCUUGGCAAGUGGAUGGUGAAAUCCCCGGGCUUAACCUGGGAAUGGCAUUUGGGACUGCAAGGCUGGAGUGCGGCAGAGGAGACUGGAAUUCCUGGUGUAGCAGUGAAAUGCGUAGAUAUCAGGAGGAAUACCGAUGGCGAAGGCAGGUCUCUGGGCUGACACUGACGCUCAUGCACGAAAGCGUGGGGAGCAAACAGG